This 1449-nucleotide ribosomal RNA is filed under the name uncultured organism. RNAcentral describes it as "SSU rRNA". It matches the Rfam family "Bacterial small subunit ribosomal RNA". The record is from RNAcentral.
GCUGGCGGCGUGCUUAACACAUGCAAGUCGAACGAGAGACGGUGAAAAGCUUGCUUUUAAUCGAAUCGAGUGGCAAACGGGUGAGUAACGCGUAAACAACCUGCCCCUGGGAUGGGGACAACAGCUGGAAACGGCUGCUAAUACCGAAUGAGCUCCACGUGCCGCAUGGCAGGAGGAGGAAAGGGUGGCCUCUGGAACAAGCUACCGCCGAGGGAGGGGUUUGCGUCUGAUUAGCUGGUUGGUGAGGUAAGGGCUCACCAAGGCGACGAUCAGUAGCCGGUCUGAGAGGAUGAACGGCCACAUUGGAACUGAGAGACGGUCCAGACUCCUACGGGAGGCAGCAGUGGGGAAUCUUCCGCAAUGGGCGAAAGCCUGACGGAGCAACGCCGCGUGAGUGAAGACGGCCUUCGAGUUGUAAAGCUCUGUUACACGGGACAAACGGGUUUUGUGCGAACAGCAUAAGACCGUGACGGUACCGUAGAAGAAAGCCACGGCUAACUACGUGCCAGCGGCCGCGGUAAUACUUAGGAGGCAAGCGUUGUCCGGAAUGAUUGGGCGUACAGGGCGCGCAUGCGGCCGGCCAAGUCUGUCUAAAAAGAGCGCCGCUUAACCCCGUGAGGGGAGAGAAACUGGCCGGCUGAGAGUGUCAGACAGGAAAGCGGAAUUCCUAGUGUAGCGGUGAAAUGCGUACAUAUUAGGAGGAACACCGGGGCGAAAGCGGCUUUAUGGACGACAAUUGACGCUGAGGCGCGAAAGCCAUGAGAACAACUGGGAUUAGAUACACCGGUAGUCGUGACCGUAAACGAUGGGUACUAGGUGUGGGAGGUAUCGACCCCUUCCGUGCCGGAGUUAAUGCAAUAAGUACACAGCCUGGGGAGUACGGCGGCAAGGUUGAAACUCAAAGGAAUAGACGGGGGGCCGCACAAGCGGUGGAGUAUGUGGUUUAAUUAGACGCAACGAGAAGAACCUUACCAAGCUUUGACAUAGAGUGAAGGGUGUAGAGAUAGACCGAUCUUAUUCGGAAGACAAGAAAACAGGUGGAGCACGGCUGUUGUCAGCUUGUGUUGUGAGAUGAAGGAGUAAGUCGAGCAACGAGAGCAACCUUUAUCUUCAGUUACCAGCAGGUAGAGGUGGGGACUCAGGAGAGAUUGUCGCAGACAAUGCGGAGGAAGGGGGGGAUGACGUCAAGUCAUCAUGCCCUUAAUGGCUUGGGUUUCACACGUACUACAAUGGCUCGUAAUAGAGGGAAGCAAGGGAGCGAUCCGGAGCAAACACCAAAAACGGAGUCCCAGUUGGGAAAUCAGGAUGCAAUUCGCCCGCAUGAAGGAGGAAUCGCUAGUAAUAGCAGGUCAGCAUAGUGCGGUGAAUACGUUUCCGGGGCGUAGUACACACCGCCCGUCACACCACGAAAGUCAUUCACACCCGAAGCCGGUGAGGUAACCGCAAGGA